ACGUAGGGGGCAAGCGUUGUCCGGAAUCAUUGGGCGUAAAGCGCGUGUAGGCGGCCAUCCAAGUCCGAUGUGAAAGCUCGGGGCUCAACCCCGAGUCUGCAUUGGAAACUGUAUGGCUUGAGUCCGGAAGAGGAGACUGGAAUUCCUGGUGUAGCGGUGAAAUGCGCAGAUAUCAGGAAGAACACCGGUGGCGAAGGCGGGUCUCUGGGACGGUACUGACGCUGAGACGCGAAAGCGUGGGGAGCAAACAGGAUUAGAUACCCUGGUAGUCCACGCCGUAAACGAUGGGCACUAGGUGUGGGAGGUGUCGACUCCUUCCGUGCCGUAGCUAACGCAUUAAGUGCCCCGCCUGGGGAGUACGGCCGCAAGGCUA
This 373-nucleotide ribosomal RNA is filed under the name uncultured bacterium. Its description in RNAcentral is "bacterial SSU rRNA". It matches the Rfam family "Bacterial small subunit ribosomal RNA", at positions 525 to 896 of the family's 1533-position model. The record is from RNAcentral.